AAAACUUCGGCAAGAACGUGGAGCUUGUGUGUGAGACUUGUGUGCUAACUUAGACCACAAGCCCCCUCACGAGCCCUGUUUUUACGAACCCUGUGUGAACCGUAAUAUUUAUUCCAUCCACGUAAUACGAAAUUUCUAGUCUAAAGUCUUCUUCAUAUCACGAGAAUAUGAUAAAAA
Molecule: unclassified non-coding RNA, 177 nt
Filed under: soil metagenome
Description: partial internal transcribed spacer 1
Source: RNAcentral